GGGCCAGCCGCAGCACCCCAUUGGUCCUACUCCCCAAGAGGCCAUCCCCAGGGGGGCUCAUGCUGCGGGGCUCUGAGCAAGCCCGCUCGCUGGCACCUUCAAACCACACGCCUGGUCCCUUCGGGGGCCGGGCGUGUGUGUUU
Molecule: non-coding RNA, 143 nt
Organism: Stenotrophomonas sp. LM091
Lineage: Bacteria; Pseudomonadati; Pseudomonadota; Gammaproteobacteria; Lysobacterales; Lysobacteraceae
Source: Rfam